This is an RNA transcript of Rosa chinensis, 2833 nucleotides long. It is a transcript of the gene named rho GTPase-activating protein gacQ, with no coding region annotated. The record is from RefSeq and is a predicted model, not a curated record. The transcript has 5 exons. Lineage: Eukaryota; Viridiplantae; Streptophyta; Magnoliopsida; Rosales; Rosaceae.
CUUUAUCUUUGACACUUUGAUCCCUCAGCAUCUUUAGGAGUUUAUAUUCACAGCAAUUCUAUGUGCAGGGUUUUCAAAUCACCGCCAUUAUAUGAAUAAAAAUCCAACUUGGUUUCUUCAUAGACUCCCAGAAGCCCCUCACACAACAAUGGCCAAAUCAGCUUCAAAAUGCCUCUUCUUAUUCUUUCUGUCUUUCCUCUUUAGCUGUUCAUCAGGAACUCUGGUAGGUUUCUCCUACCAUGUUAGCGGAAACACUACAACUUCAUCACCAAGUAGAACAAUAUCAUUUCUGAAGCGAAACAAGAUUGCCCCAUCUCAGAUUCGCGUCUUUGUUGAAGAUCAUAGAAUUUUAAGAACUCUGUCCAACACUGGUGUAGCUGUUGAUCUCUACUUGAAUGAGGCCCUUGUUCAAAAUAUCAUAAAUUCCAAAUCUUCUUCAAUCUCAGGGCUGAAAUCCUAUAUAAUGCCCUUUCUCUCACAAGUAAAGAUCAAAAGCAUCGUAGCAACUAGUGGUGACUAUACAAGAAAAUAUGCUCUCUCCGUGCUUUUAUCGACCCUGAAAUCUAUACACUCAGUCCUCUCUAGUUUACCUGCUGACCGCAGAAUUAAGGUCUCGGUGGCAUUUCCUUUGUCAUUUUUAGAGAAUAUGAGCACCUCACAUGGAAGAGACCUGCAUAGGAUCUGUGACUACAUCACACAAGUGAAAUCUGCUGUCAUUGUAGAAGCCAAUAUUGAUGGAGAAUUGAGUAUGGGUGAAAGUUUUGUCCAUUCGAUGAUCGAAAGAGCCAGCCUUGCAAAUUCUCUUCUUCCUUGCACUGAUGUCCCCAUGGUUUUGACAGUCAAGAGUCCAGCAGUUCCCAGUGCAACUGAAGUAGCUGCAUUCGCCGAUAAGGUGUCCAAAGCUUUAGAAACCAACACUCACAUUAUAAGUAGCAUAGUUGGUCUAUAUGCACAAGUAUCUUCAAUGGAAGAUUUUGCACACAAAGAGAUGAAAAGAGCAGAAGAACAGAUCUUUCCUUCUUUUCGCCGAGUACUCUCAAGAAUCUUCCACCUCAAGACAACUUUACAUGAAGCAGAUGACUCACCAACAAUCUUCCCUACAACUCCCAUAUCCACAACACCACCAGUAUCCACCACUCCAUAUAUUCCUACCCCAACUAUUGUCACUGUCCCCUCUACAAACACAGUACCAAUAGCUCCAUUGAAUCCUAUACCGUCCACCACACCUAUUACUGUGCCCUCCACAAACCCUGCGGAUUCACCAGUACCAGAAGCCAAUCCUACCACAGCACCCCCCAUCACAGUCCCAGGGAAUCCAGUAAUAACCAACCCUGUCACAACUUACCCGGCACCAGCUGGAGUCGUUCCUGUCACGACACCUGUCACGAAUCCUGUGGCACCUCCUGCAACAAGUACUAAUGCACCUGCAGUUCCAGGACAGAGUUGGUGUGUGGCCAAGAGUGGAGCAUCGGAAACAGCAGUUCAGGCUGCUUUGGACUAUGCUUGUGGAAAGGUAGACUGUUCACAGCUCCAGCAAGGUGGGAGUUGUUACAAUCCAACUACUCUCCAAAACCAUGCCUCAUAUGCAUUCAACAGCUAUUAUCAGAAGAAUCCAGUUGCAACUAGCUGUGACUUUGGAGGAGUUGCCACAAUAGUUACUACUAAUCCAAGCAUUGGUUCAUGUACUUACCUAUCAUCGUCGUCGUCGUCAUCAACACCAACAACUCCAUCUCCUCCGGCAUCAACAACUCCAUCUCCUCCAGCAUCAUCAACUCCAUCCCCUCCCGUAUCAACAACUCCAACUCCACUGCCAGCAACAACAACUCCUCCAGCACCAACAUUUACAUCAUUUCCACCACCAGGGGAAGGUGUAUCAGGCUCUGGUACUCCACCCCCUUCAGUUUUAAAUUCAAGCAACCCAGCAGCUUCAGGAACCAUGCCACCAUUUGGGCUCGACAGCCCUCCUAGUCUUAACACAACAUACAGCUCAACAUCCUCAUCAGCUAGCUUGCGGCCCUUUGUUAGUUACAUCUUUUUGGCAACAGCCUUGGUUACUAGAAAAAUCGUUCUUAACAUGUAGAAGUAUAACCUCCUCCUCUCCCUGUAAGGUUACUUCUAUCUGUUCCAGCCUUGUAAAUAACUACGUAUGCAAGCAAUGAAGGGAAGAAAAUAGAGGAAGCAUGUUCUGGAUGAAAGCAAACUCUUCUACAUCUAAAUUGGGCUGCUAUGGGAGUAUGAAACUACAGUGUUACUCGUUGAGGUUGGGAGCAUCCCUCUGAGGCUCCAAUUUGUGACAGUUCUUCACCUUCCAAAGUACACGCCGAUGAUAUCCAUAAGCAAAAGCAUGCUCACCCAAGAUAUACCCUCAUAAGCUCCUUGGUACCUUGCUCCUACGUCUUUCUAAACAUGUCAUCCAUCUCAGGACAUGGAUGAGAUGUUCACAAAGAAAAAUGGACUCAGGAAAGAUGAUACUCCUGAAGAAUGUGGAGGACCCGUGCUAAUGUUUCUCUGUGCUUGAAGGAAGGUAAGAACAACACGUUAGAACCAACAAGGAGAAAAUCAAAUUCAAUAAGCUGAAGUGUGUACAUUAUGCAAUGUAGGAAUCAACGAGAAUGAUAGAGGUGAUGGAUAAUCACUAUUACUAGCGUCACUAGGGCAGUUCUAAGUACACUUAGCGUGCACUCAAAAAGCACAUUCCACCAUCACAAGAAUGGGACAUGGGUUAUCCGGUUGCUAAGCUUAUAGACUCGAGGAAUCAAUCAAAGAACAAUAACCAAUAACCUACACUCAAAUCAAGUAGCGUGAAUGAUCCACUCUUCUUUUUCUUUUUCUU